GAAGGCUGAGGCAGGAGACUCGCUUGAACACAGGACUUGGAGGCUGCAGUGAGCCGAGAUCGCACUACUGCACUCUAACCUGCGCCACAGAGGAGAAUCAAAAGUUAUUUCAGUUUGAGUGUGAGCCUCAGCAAGAAUAGAAUGCUAGCAGGAAGAAAAUGACCCAUACUGUCUGGAUUUUACCUGGUGGGUCCAGUUUCAAAUAUUCUUUCUUGUCACAGUAUGAAUCCUGAAUUUUUCAUAAAAUAUGCGCCCCCAGACAUAUAAGUGGUUCUCUUGGUGCAUACUAAAUGCAGAUAAGACUCUGUAAUUGUAUUUUUACAGAAAGUCAUUAAAUCGUCACAAAACCUCCUUGAAGGGGGUAGUACUCCAUUUUAUAGAAUUAGAAAAUGAGACACAAAAGGAGUGAAUUGUCUAAGGUUACUAAAAAAAUUAUAAAGCCUAAAGUUAACUCCAAAUCCAGCAUUCUUAAAGCUGUUCCAUAGCUUCCUAACCCUGCUCCAUUUUGCCUCCCAAUCAAUUGCCAAGAUUUAGCGACAAAGAUAGUGUAUAACCUUUAAAGAAAAAUGCCACCGUCUGUUUCUUCAAAGAAAAAUGCUUUGUAGAUUCUGGGAUGAGAGGGCCAUUACCUGAGAAUUAAUUAGAUUAUGUGCUGUGUUUCAGAUUGCCUGAUGGUAGUAGACAAGAAGACCCUGGGCUUAAAUGCCAUUGAAUAUUUAUAAAAAUUAGGAAAGGCAAGUAAACAGUCCCUCCUACCAGAGAUGGAAGCCUUCUUCUUGCUGAUAAGGAAGGUGUUAGAGGAGCAGUCAUUGAGGAUGGAGAUUGAAAGCAUGGCAAAAUGAGGAAACCACUGACAAGUGAAGAGUUUGCACAGUGGAAGACCACCUUGACCAUCUCAUGACUUUAUACAGGAAUCAGGUGGGUAAGUGUUCCUUUAAAGUGAUUUUGUCGUAGAAGAGUCAUCUGAAAUGACUCUUAUGAUGGAGGAAAGGAAAGAAAUGAAAUCAAUAUUCAUGAUUAUUUAAAAUGACUUAAAAGCUAAGUGUAAUAUACAGAGUAAGUCCUUUUCCUAGUAUAAAAAUAGUGCCAGAAACUAUAUUUGUACAAAUACAUUGAAAAGGUAUAAGAAUACAAAUAGUUAUUAACAGUGGCUAGUGAUGCCUCAUAAGGUUUUCUUUUCCUAAACUGUGAUAGAAAUUUAUAUUUUCAACUAUUUACAUUGCUUUCAACAACAUUCAUUAAGACAUGUUUUCACAGGCUUAUGGUAAGUAUAUGGAAUGGCAAAGUGAACUUUAAUACUUUCUUCUUCCCUCUCUGUAGUAGAGCAGAAGGGUCCAAAACUGUGCACAAUUUAACAGUCCAGAAGAACUGUGUAACCUUUACCUUACUAGCAUAUGGA
Sapajus apella (tufted capuchin) is the source of this 1399-nucleotide long non-coding RNA. RefSeq lists it as uncharacterized. NCBI's taxonomy places the organism in Eukaryota, Metazoa, Chordata, Mammalia, Primates, Cebidae. The transcript has 3 exons. The record is from RefSeq and is a predicted model, not a curated record.